Molecule: ribosomal RNA, 253 nt
Filed under: uncultured bacterium
Lineage: Bacteria
Description: partial 16S ribosomal RNA
Rfam family: Bacterial small subunit ribosomal RNA
Source: RNAcentral
UACGUAGGGUGCGAGCGUUAAUCGGAAUUACUGGGCGUAAAGCGUGCGCAGGCGGUUUUGUAAGCCAGAUGUGAAAUCCCCGGGCUUAACCUGGGAACUGCAUUUGUGACUGCAUGGCUAGAGUUUGGCAGAGGGGGGUAGAAUUCCACGUGUAGCAGUGAAAUGCGUAGAUAUGUGGAGGAACACCGAUGGCGAAGGCAGCCCCCUGGGUCAAGACUGACGCUCAUGCACGAAAGCGUGGGGAGCAAACAGG